GAGGUUAUAGCUCCAGUGGUAGAGCACAUGUUUAGCAUACAUAAGGUCCUGGGUUCAAGCCCCAGUGCCUCU
RNAcentral lists this transfer RNA (72 nucleotides) under Camelus bactrianus (Bactrian camel). It matches the Rfam family "tRNA". From Rfam's summary of the family: Transfer RNA (tRNA) molecules are approximately 80 nucleotides in length. Their secondary structure includes four short double-helical elements and three loops (D, anti-codon, and T loops). The record is from Rfam by way of RNAcentral. RNAcentral also lists the same sequence under 3 other names. Lineage: Eukaryota; Metazoa; Chordata; Mammalia; Artiodactyla; Camelidae.